RNAcentral lists this ribosomal RNA (217 nucleotides) under uncultured bacterium. Its description in RNAcentral is "partial 16S ribosomal RNA". It matches the Rfam family "Bacterial small subunit ribosomal RNA", at positions 118 to 351 of the family's 1533-position model. The record is from RNAcentral.
UGGGAACGUACCCUUUGGUUCGGAACAACCCAUGGAAACUUGGGCUAAUACCGGAUAAGUCCGUAAGGGAGAAAGAUUUAUCGCCAAAGGAUCGGCCCGCGUCUGAUUAGCUAGUUGGUAGGGUAAUGGCCUACCAAGGCUACGAUCAGUAGCUGGUCUGAGAGGAUGAUCAGCCACACUGGGACUGAGACACGGCCCAGACUCCUACGGGAGGCAG